RNAcentral lists this ribosomal RNA (426 nucleotides) under uncultured Actinomycetes bacterium. RNAcentral describes it as "bacterial SSU rRNA". It matches the Rfam family "Bacterial small subunit ribosomal RNA", at positions 9 to 418 of the family's 1533-position model. Lineage: Bacteria; Bacillati; Actinomycetota; Actinomycetes. The record is from RNAcentral.
GAGUUUGAUCCUGGCUCAGAGCGAACGCUGGCGGCGUACUUAACACAUGCAAGUCGAACGAGGAGUACCACUGUAGCAAUACAGCGGUACUUCUAGUGGCGUACGGGUGAGUAACACGUGGGCAACCUGCCCUUGAGUCCGGGAUACCCUCUCGAAAGGGAGGCUAAUACUGGAUACGUUCUCCGGACCGCAAGGCCUGGAGAGGAAAGGUAGCGAAAGCUGCCGCUCUUGGAGGGGCUCGCGGCCUAUCAGCUAGUUGGUGAGGUAACGGCUCACCAAGGCUAUGACGGGUAGCUGGUCUGAGAGGACGACCAGCCACACGGGAACUGAGACACGGUCCCGACUCCUACGGGAGGCAGCAGUGGGGAAUUUUCCGCAAUGGGCGAAAGCCUGACGGAGUGACGCCGCGUGGGGGACGAAGGCCUC